This 93-nucleotide ribosomal RNA is filed under the name Paenibacillus sabuli. RNAcentral's name for it is "Bacterial large subunit ribosomal RNA". It matches the Rfam family "Bacterial large subunit ribosomal RNA", at positions 2832 to 2925 of the family's 2925-position model. Lineage: Bacteria; Bacillati; Bacillota; Bacilli; Caryophanales; Paenibacillaceae. The record is from Rfam by way of RNAcentral.
GACCCCUGGUAGACGACCAGGUUGAUAGGUUCGGGGUGGAAGCGUGGCAACACGUGCAGCUGACGAAUACUAAUCGGUCGAGGGCUUAUCCUG